This 270-nucleotide ribosomal RNA is filed under the name uncultured archaeon. Its description in RNAcentral is "partial 16S ribosomal RNA". It matches the Rfam family "Archaeal small subunit ribosomal RNA", at positions 477 to 747 of the family's 1478-position model. The record is from RNAcentral.
CAGCAGUUCAAGUUGCAUCCCUUUUUAUUGGGCCUAAAGCAUCCGUAGCCGGCUCUGUAAGUUUUCGGUUAAAUCUGUACGCUCAACGUACAGGCUGCCGGGAAUACUGCAGAGCUAGGGAGUGGGAGAGGUAGACGGUACUCGGUAGGAAGGGGUAAAAUCCUUUGAUCUAUUGAUGACCACCUGUGGCGAAGGCGGUCUACCAGAACACGUCCGACGGUGAGGGAUGAAAGCUGGGGGAGCAAACCGGAUUAGAUACCCGCGUAGUCC